Molecule: transfer RNA, 69 nt
Filed under: Ictidomys tridecemlineatus (thirteen-lined ground squirrel)
Lineage: Eukaryota; Metazoa; Chordata; Mammalia; Rodentia; Sciuridae
Also listed under: 1 other name
Description: Spermophilus tridecemlineatus (thirteen-lined ground squirrel) tRNA
Rfam family: tRNA
About the family: Transfer RNA (tRNA) molecules are approximately 80 nucleotides in length. Their secondary structure includes four short double-helical elements and three loops (D, anti-codon, and T loops).
Source: Rfam by way of RNAcentral
GGGGCUGUAGCUCAGUGGUAGAGCGCUUGCCUAACAUGUAUGAAGUACUGGGUUCGAUCCUCAGCACCA